Molecule: transfer RNA, 69 nt
Filed under: Ictidomys tridecemlineatus (thirteen-lined ground squirrel)
Lineage: Eukaryota; Metazoa; Chordata; Mammalia; Rodentia; Sciuridae
Description: Spermophilus tridecemlineatus (thirteen-lined ground squirrel) tRNA
Rfam family: tRNA
About the family: Transfer RNA (tRNA) molecules are approximately 80 nucleotides in length. Their secondary structure includes four short double-helical elements and three loops (D, anti-codon, and T loops). Further hydrogen bonds mediate the characteristic L-shaped molecular structure. tRNAs have two regions of fundamental functional importance: the anti-codon, which is responsible for specific mRNA codon recognition, and the 3' end, to which the tRNAs corresponding amino acid is attached (by aminoacyl-tRNA synthetases). tRNAs cope with the degeneracy of the genetic code in two manners: having more than one tRNA (with a specific anti-codon) for a particular amino acid; and 'wobble' base-pairing, i.e. permitting non-standard base-pairing at the 3rd anti-codon position.
Source: Rfam by way of RNAcentral
GGGACUGUAGCUCAGUGGCAGAGCACUUGCCUUGCACGUGAGAGGUACUGGGUUCGAUCCUCAGCACCA